This 504-nucleotide ribosomal RNA is filed under the name uncultured Glomus. RNAcentral's name for it is "SSU rRNA". It matches the Rfam family "Eukaryotic small subunit ribosomal RNA", at positions 569 to 1076 of the family's 1831-position model. Lineage: Eukaryota; Fungi; Glomeromycota; Glomeromycetes; Glomerales; Glomeraceae. The record is from RNAcentral.
AGCAGCCGCGGUAAUUCCAGCUCCAAUAGCGUAUAUUAAAGUUGUUGCAGUUAAAAAGCUCGUAGUUGAAUUUCGGGAUCAAUAUGUUGGUCGUGCCUUGGUACGUACUGGCAUUAUUGGUUUCUACCUUCUGAAGAACCUCGAUGUCAUUAAUUUGGUGUCUUGGGGAAUCAGGACUGUUACUUUGAAAAAAUUAGAGUGUUUAAAGCAGGCUCACGCUUGAAUACAUUAGCAUGGAAUAAUGAAAUAGGACGUUUGAUUCUAUUUUGUUGGUUUCUAGGAUCGACGUAAUGAUUAAUAGGGAUAGUUGGGGGCAUUAGUAUUCAAUUGUCAGAGGUGAAAUUCUUGGAUUUAUUGAAGACUAACUACUGCGAAAGCAUUUGCCAAGGAUGUUUUCAUUAAUCAAGAACGAAAGUUAGGGGAUCGAAGACGAUCAGAUACCGUCGUAGUCUUAACCAUAAACUAUGCCGACUAGGGAUCGGAUGAUGUUAAUUUUUAAUGACU